GAUGGGAGCUUGCUCCCUGAUGUUAGCGGCGGACGGGUGAGUAACACGUGGGUAACCUGCCUGUAAGACUGGGAUAACUCCGGGAAACCGGGGCUAAUACCGGAUGGUUGUCUGAACCGCAUGGUUCAGACAUAAAAGGUGGCUUCGGCUACCACUUACAGAUGGACCCGCGGCGCAUUAGCUAGUUGGUGAGGUAACGGCUCACCAAGGCGACGAUGCGUAGCCGACCUGAGAGGGUGAUCGGCCACACUGGGACUGAGACACGGCCCAGACUCCUACGGGAGGCAGCAGUAGGGAAUCUUCCGCAAUGGACGAAAGUCUGACGGAGCAACGCCGCGUGAGUGAUGAAGGUUUUCGGAUCGUAAAGCUCUGUUGUUAGGGAAGAACAAGUGCCGUUCAAAUAGGGCGGCACCUUGACGGUACCUAACCAGAAAGCCACGGCUAACUACGUGCC
This 454-nucleotide ribosomal RNA is filed under the name Bacillus subtilis. Its description in RNAcentral is "bacterial SSU rRNA". It matches the Rfam family "Bacterial small subunit ribosomal RNA", at positions 71 to 509 of the family's 1533-position model. The record is from RNAcentral. Lineage: Bacteria; Bacillati; Bacillota; Bacilli; Caryophanales; Bacillaceae.